Sapajus apella (tufted capuchin) is the source of this 283-nucleotide long non-coding RNA. RefSeq lists it as uncharacterized. The record is from RefSeq and is a predicted model, not a curated record. NCBI's taxonomy places the organism in Eukaryota, Metazoa, Chordata, Mammalia, Primates, Cebidae. The transcript is spliced from 3 exons.
CAAGUCACGUGCUUAGAGUACAGGAGCCCCUCCCUUUCAGGUAGCCACGGCAAGGAGGGGAGGCACAUACAUCAGCAUCUUUCUACGCACUUAUCAGAAAGAUCAAAGGCUUUUGGGAUUCCUCUGUUGCUUCUCACGACUUCUAAGAACUUAAAAAGAGCACCAGGUGGGAAAGCAGAACACGAAAGUGGACAAGGAUGGUGACCAUCGGAGCACAGCACCACAGAGAGGCAUUUAAGCCCCUGGAUGCUGGGUGUGGUGGCUCAUGCCUCUAAUCCCAGCA